Molecule: ribosomal RNA, 489 nt
Filed under: uncultured bacterium
Lineage: Bacteria
Description: partial 16S ribosomal RNA
Rfam family: Bacterial small subunit ribosomal RNA
Source: RNAcentral
AAUGAACGUUGGCGGCAUGGAUUAGGCAUGCAAGUCGAGCGAGAAGAGUUUUGAAGCUUGCUUUAGAACUCGGACAGCGGCGAAAGGGAGAGUAACGCGUAGUUAUGUGCCCUAGGGUCCGGAAUAGCCACGGGAAACUGUGGGUAAUGCCGGAUAACAUCCCCGGAUCAAAGGUGUGAUUCCGCCCUAGGAGCAGACUGCGUCCUACUAGCUAGUUGGUGGGGUAAUGGCCCACCAAGGCAAUGAUGGGUAGCGGGUGUGAGAGCAUGACCCGUCUCACUGGGACUGAGACACUGCCCAGACACCUACGGGUGGCUGCAGUCGAGAAUCUUCGGCAAUGGGCGAAAGCCUGACCGAGCGAUGCCGCGUGCGGGAUGAAGGCCCUCGGGUUGUAAACCGCUGUCGUAGGGGAGGAAGGUUCCGUGAAGAGCGGAAUUUGACCUAUCCUAGGAGGAAGUACGGGCUAGUUCGUGCCAGCCGCUGCGGUAA